Molecule: ribosomal RNA, 119 nt
Filed under: Musa acuminata subsp. malaccensis (wild Malaysian banana)
Lineage: Eukaryota; Viridiplantae; Streptophyta; Magnoliopsida; Zingiberales; Musaceae
Source: RNAcentral
GGGUGCGAUCAUACACGUACUAAAGCACCGGAUCCUAUAAGAACUCCCAAGUUAAGCUUGCUUGGGCGAGAGGAAUACUAGGAUGGUUGACACGUUGGAAUGUCCUCGUGUUGCACUCC